RNAcentral lists this long non-coding RNA (909 nucleotides) under Monodelphis domestica (gray short-tailed opossum). RNAcentral's name for it is "lncRNA (ENSMODG00000046819.1)". The record is from RNAcentral. Lineage: Eukaryota; Metazoa; Chordata; Mammalia; Didelphimorphia; Didelphidae.
UUGCUGUACCAGAUGCCUGGAGGACUGCCAAUGUGAUUUCCACUCAAAAGAAGGGCUUCAGCAGGGAGCCUGAUAACUACUGUAGGCCAGUGAGUUCUACUUCCACAUUUGGCAAGCUGGUAGGAUCCUUAAUAUAGGCUGCAGUAUAUAAGAAGAUGAGCUGAACUCAAGGAUAAGUCUAUGGAGAUGGAAACUAGACAUUUAAAGGUCCCAGAAAAUGAGUAUAAAAAUAAAGAUCAGACAUCAGGAUAGUGGAGCAGCUGUCAGAUGCAAAGCAAUCCCAUGGCUGUAAUGAUUAAGCUGUCUUCGGUUUGUUAUUUUUGUUGACUGACCAUUCACCACCAGUCGGGAUACCCUGGAGUCACAGGCAAGGGUGGACUUUGCCCAUGGCAAUAACAUACCUGCCUCCAUGAUGCCUUUAUCUCGGGGUCAGUUUGGAAUGGUCAGCAGAGUACAAGAAUCUAGCCUUGAACAUCUGGCCUCCAUAUCUGACUCAGAAAUCUCAGUUGGCUUGUUUGAAUAUCAGCACAAAAUGUUCAGGCUACCAAAUCUUCAAAGGAGACCAAAUCUUCAAAGAGGGAGGUCUGGAGACAAGAGAAUAUCUGGAGUUCCUUUAUUAGACUAUCUGGUCAGAGUAUCUUGCUUUGGAUUUGUCUGGAACAGAUUCAACUGGUUUUAUGAGGGCUAUCAGUUUCUUACUACAGACCAUGGGUCUCUGCCUCUGGAAUUAAGCAAGGAUGUGAUACAUUCCUUGAGAAUUGCACUCUAUUUCAUUACAAUUUAAUCCUAUAUGGUAUAUAUGGUUUUAUGUAUUUUAUAUAUAUUUUAAUAUCUAAAAUUCAAAAUCUUAUGUUUUUAAAAUCUAAAGACUACUUUCUCUUGAUUAUAUAUGUAUACAUAUAUGUACAU